GAGAAAAAGACCUCAGAAAUAGGCACUCUUCUGCAGAUCCCUCUGUGAAGAAAAACUUUCUAAACAUCAAGGAUUAAAAAAAUAAGAACACCUUUCUCCCAUGGCAUUUUAUCUCAUCUCGGGUCCAGAGCAGUAUAGUUGGACAGCCAUGGACUGAGACCUCUGAAAUUAAGACAAGAACUGAGGAAUAAUACUGCCCAGUAAUGGUGUACUCCAUUUUCUGCUUUCUACUGAAUCCUCAACAAAAUCUACAUGAAUGCAGAUUUUCUGGAAGAGUAUUUUUGGGUAUUGACCAUCACAUAAAGUGACUGAAGCAUAAUAUAGAAAGGAUUUGGAGGACAACUUAGAAAUGAAAGCUGAUGGAACUGUCAUAAUUUGGAUUUAUUUGGCAUCUAAAAGCAAAGAAAACAGGGUCAAGCAGAACAGACUGAAUAAACAAGAGCUAAUCCUGAAAAUGACCUGCAAAUUCAAUCUGUGGCCAUAUCCCUAGAUUUUGAAGUCAUGUUCCUGCCUUAUAGAAAAAGAAAAGGAGAAAAAGAAGAUAUUUCUCCCUCACAGAAAAAUGAAAAGAAAAACAAUAAAGAUAUUCUUUUAUAUUGGUAAUUUGGAAUAACACAAAUCACACAAGAUAAGAUUGAAUGUGUUUAUUUCAUUGGAAAGAAAGACAGGAAGGGGACAGGAAAGAGAUAGAAAAAGAGAACAUGCUCUUCCUCCCUAUCCCGUUCUGAGUCACCCUCCUUAUUGGGAGGAAGAGCAUGAGAAGAAGACUACCACUAA
Ictidomys tridecemlineatus (thirteen-lined ground squirrel) is the source of this 777-nucleotide non-coding RNA. Lineage: Eukaryota; Metazoa; Chordata; Mammalia; Rodentia; Sciuridae. The record is from RefSeq and is a predicted model, not a curated record.